UGAAAAUAUUUGGAGAAAGCACGGUU
Molecule: non-coding RNA, 26 nt
Filed under: Mus musculus (house mouse)
Lineage: Eukaryota; Metazoa; Chordata; Mammalia; Rodentia; Muridae
Source: RNAcentral